GUCGGAAGGCAUAUUAGCUGGGAGAAGGGCAGAAAUUUAUGUUGGGAGCUAAAGAAGCUUCUAUCCAAAGCCAUUCUGUUGUUUUCUCAGCAGUAGCUUUGCUUUUCCACUCCCUAUUCACGACGUCAUGCGAUUGAGUCUGCAAUAAAGCCAAGGAGCUUGGGCACUGCACCCUGACUCUUAUGUCAUUUUUGAAUGGAGUUUCGUUGACUGUCUAGUUGAUAUUAUGAUACCUCAACAAGGGUAAUUCACCCCCAUUUGUGCUUUGGCUCCAGUAUUCUGGCAAUACAGCCUUUCUACUGGCUGCAUCAUCACUUGGUACGGAGGCUUCAUACACAGGAUCGAAAGAGACUGCAGAGGAUUGUAGACUCAGCCAAUUCCAUAUUUUAUCAAUUUAUUUCUGGUAAUAUUUUAUCGUUUGUGCUGUGUUUGAUGUUUGGUGGGUGCUUUGUGGUCAGGAGGAACGUUGUUUUGUUUGGUUGUAUAUAUGAACCGUCAGAUGACAAUAAACCUGAACUUGGCUUAACCCUCUCCACCAUUGACGAUACCUUCAAAUGGUGAUGCCUCAAGAAGGGGACACCCAUCAUGGAGGAUCCUCACUAUCCAGGACGUGUUCUCUUUUCUCAGAGAGGAAGUACAGGAGCCUGAGGAUGUAAACAAAGUGUUUUCUUUUCCUUUGUCAUCAGAUUUUUUAAUGGCAAAGACUGCUUCACGAUUUAGAUCUCGUUUUGCACUAUUUAGUUACCUUUUAGUAUAUUAUUGUAAUUUCAAUGACUUGCACUGUACGGCUGCUUCAAAACAACAGAUGUUAUGAAACGUGUCAGUUACCCUGAUGAGAGGAUCAUUGGGGCCUCUUGUCCACCCAUCUGAGAUAUUUAUCAGCAGUGCUGUGUGCACAGGCCCCUUAGCAUUGUCAAGGAUCCCUCCCUUUCAUACAUCAAUCUCUUUGACCCCCUACCAUCAGGCAGGAGGUACCGACAUCAGGACAAGGACUGUUAAGAUGGGAAACAACUUAUUCCCCCAGGCUGUAAGACUACUGAACUCCCUACCUCCACCCAGGUCUCAUCAGUGCCAAGAGCAAAACAGUAUUUACUUUUUAACUUGUGUUGUAAAUGCACCUUAUUACUUGUUAGUUUAUGUGUGAUAAUAUUACUUUGUAUGUUGUUGUGAGUUAUAUGUACUGUGUUGUGCACCUUGAUCUGGAGAAACAUUGUGUUUGUCAGUAUACAUGAAUGGUGGAAUCACAAUGAACUUGAACUCGAACUUG
This is a long non-coding RNA of Hypanus sabinus (Atlantic stingray), 1267 nucleotides long. RefSeq lists it as uncharacterized. The record is from RefSeq and is a predicted model, not a curated record. Lineage: Eukaryota; Metazoa; Chordata; Chondrichthyes; Myliobatiformes; Dasyatidae. The transcript is spliced from 2 exons.